RNAcentral lists this non-coding RNA (21 nucleotides) under Arabidopsis thaliana (thale cress). The record is from RNAcentral. Lineage: Eukaryota; Viridiplantae; Streptophyta; Magnoliopsida; Brassicales; Brassicaceae.
UCACUUCAGGGGCAAAUUGGU